RNAcentral lists this ribosomal RNA (435 nucleotides) under uncultured bacterium. Its description in RNAcentral is "bacterial SSU rRNA". It matches the Rfam family "Bacterial small subunit ribosomal RNA", at positions 29 to 404 of the family's 1533-position model. The record is from RNAcentral.
AAUGAACGUUGGCGGCGUGGAUUAGGCAUGCAAGUCGAGCGGUAGGGAACCUCUCACUCAUGCUCUCUUUGAACGGGGUCGAGGACGACCCGGCUCGCGAGCCGGCCCCGACUGAGAGAGUUGCGUGAGGGGUUCCUGAGAGCGGCGAAAGGGAGAGUAACGCGUAGUUACGUACCCCGAGGACCGGAAUAGCCACGGGAAACUGUGGGUAAUGCCGGAUAACAUCUUCGGAUCAAAGGUGUGAUUCCGCCUCGGGAGCGGACUGCGUUGUACUAGCUUGUUGGUAGGGUAAUGGCCUACCAAGGCGAUGAUGCAUAGCGGGUGUGAGAGCAUGACCCGUCUCACUGGGACUGAGACACUGCCCAGACACCUACGGGUGCUGCAGUCGAGAAUCUUCGGCAAUGAGCGCAAGCUUGACCGAGCGACGCCGCGUGU